Molecule: ribosomal RNA, 468 nt
Filed under: uncultured bacterium
Lineage: Bacteria
Description: partial 16S ribosomal RNA
Rfam family: Bacterial small subunit ribosomal RNA
Source: RNAcentral
GACGAACGCUGGCGGCGUGCUUAACACAUGCAAGUCGAACGGAAAGGCCCUGCUUUUGUGGGGUGCUCGAGUGGCGAACGGGUGAGUAACACGUGAGUAACCUGCCCUUGACUUUGGGAUAACUUCAGGAAACUGGGGCUAAUACCGGAUAGGAGCUCCUGCUGCAUGGUGGGGGUUGGAAAGUUUCGGCGGUUGGGGAUGGACUGGCGGCUUAUCAGCUUGUUGGUGGGGUAGUGGCUUACCAAGGCUUUGACGGGUAGCCGGCCUAAGAGGGUGACCGGCCACAUUGGGACUGCGAUACGGCCCAGACUCCUACGGGAGGCAGCAGUGGGGAAUAUUGCACAAUGGGCGGAAGCCUGAUGCAGCAACGCCGCGUGCGGGAUGACGGCCUUCGGGUUGUAAACCGCUUUCGCCUGUGACGAAGCGUGAGUGACGGUAAUGGGUAAAGAAGCACCGGCUAACUACGUG